Molecule: long non-coding RNA, 1107 nt
Filed under: Sarcophilus harrisii (Tasmanian devil)
Lineage: Eukaryota; Metazoa; Chordata; Mammalia; Dasyuromorphia; Dasyuridae
Description: lncRNA (ENSSHAG00000027076.1)
Source: RNAcentral
ACAAAGGACAGCAACAGUGAAUAAAUGUAAAAAAAAUACUGACAUGAUGACAAUGUCUUGACUUGAAGGUGAAUUGGAUCUAAAUGAGACAGAACUGCACUCCUCCAGUCAUCUGAGUCCAGUGGCAAGCAAGACAAAGGACCUUGGAUGCAACACGUCACUGAAAGUUCCGAGGUCAAAAGCCAUCCCAGUCUUUUUCCAAGAUCUAUUGUCUCAUGGCCUUCUGGAGUCCUAUUCUUUCCAACUACCAAAAGGAGACUCACCAGAGAAUCUCACUGGAGUUUCCACCGUCACCUAAUAUUGUUCCCAGGCUCAGGAUCCACCACCAGUCAGAUCAAGCGAAUAGCCGACAAGUUGGAACUGCAAACUCAUGGUCCAUGCUGGUUUUUCUGUAGUGGGCAAUUCUAUUUUAAAACAUCCCACAUUGAGACUUUAAGCGACUUCCUUUAUAAUAAAAUGCCCCUACGCAACCCAACUUUUUCUUUUUUGUCACCCUCAGGAUUGAGAUUGCAGAGCUAAAAAGGAAAAAUUUGGCCAAAAUGGCAUCUUUACCUGUGAGCAUGAUGUUUCUGCCAGAACAUGAGCUCUUUGAGGACAAUAAUUGCUUUCAUUUAGUCUUUGAAUCCUUGGCACUGAGGACAGCGCUGGUGCAAGGUGUGGAGUGAAGAAGAUAGGCAACCCAAGGGCUAUCUUGGUACCCCUGACAUUUUAAAAACAUAUCUUUUUUUUUUUUUUUUUUUUGGUCUUUGCACUUGUUAUUUCAAACAUUCCUUUCCCAAUACUUUCCCAGUGACAAACACAGAAAACAUCUUAUACUGACCUAUCUGACAAAUAUAUAUAAAUAUGGCCCUCAUUACACCAUUUAUUUCAUUAUCUGCCUUCCUGGAACCCCAAUGGGUAAAGAUUAAAAGUACCAGAAAUAGGCCUUCAGUAAACUGGAGUCUUUAUGGAGAAUUAGAUGUUGGAAGAUGGAUGCAUUUAUUGACAUCUUCGGAAAAACUACCUAUACUGAAGACAGCAAAGACCCAGUUAUUUUUAUCCCACGGUGAUAUUCAGUUUUAUAAAAGUACCUCGGGGCCUACAAAGAGCCAGAGGUCACUAGGCCAG